Non-coding RNA from Camellia sinensis, 490 nucleotides. NCBI's taxonomy places the organism in Eukaryota, Viridiplantae, Streptophyta, Magnoliopsida, Ericales, Theaceae. The record is from RefSeq and is a predicted model, not a curated record.
AUGAAAAUGGCUGCAGCUUUGGCAAAUUGCCUUCUGCGAUGUCCCUGCUUCAGUUCAUUGACAAAUAUCGGAUUUGCUUGCAGGUCUCUGACACUUUCACACUUUGUUGAUCUACAAUGUAUGCAGAUGCAUGAGCUGCUGCACAGAGGUUGAGCCUGAGCGGUAAGAAGGAUCUUUCGCUUUUUACUUGCACAAAAGCGAUGCUGGACCUUUUUAUUCCCACGAAGCUGAUUUUUGUUUUUUUGGGCCACUUUCGAUUCAUCUAUGCGUGGUGAAUUCCCAAUGUGUGUGAUCACUCACAAGCCAAAACUCUCAGGAACAUGCUUUCCAGUUUGCAGGGCAUUUCUACACAUGAACAUUUGAGGCACCAGUAUCUUAUGCUAAGGUUGUUGGGUGGAAAAUAUUUUUUGAAAAAUGUUUUUUGUAUUUUUCGAACAUUUGUUACAACGGAAAAUAAAAGGGAAAUUUUUGGUGGUCAAUGAAAAAUAAA